ACACAUGCAAGUCGAACGGAAAGGCCCUGCUUUUGUGGGGUGCUCGAGUGGCGAACGGGUGAGUAACACGUGAGUAACCUGCCCUUGACUUUGGGAUAACCUCAGGAAACUGGGGCUAAUACCGGAUAGGAGCUCCUGCUGCAUGGUGGGGGUUGGAAAGUUUCGGCGGUUGGGGAUGGACUCGCGGCUUAUCAGCUUGUUGGUGGGGUAGUGGCUUACCAAGGCUUUGACGGGUAGCCGGCCUGAGAGGGUGACCGGCCACAUUGGGACUGAGAUACGGCCCAGACUCCUACGGGAGGCAGCAGUGGGGAAUAUUGCACAAUGGGCGGAAGCCUGAUGCAGCAACGCCGCGUGCGGGAUGACGGCCUUCGGGUUGUAAACCGCUUUCGCCUGUGACGAAGCGUGAGUGACGGUAAUGGGUAAAGAAGCACCGGCUAACUACGUGCCAGCAGCCGCGGUGAUACGUAGGGUGCGAGCGUUGUCCGGAUUUAUUGGGCGUAAAGGGCUCGUAGGUGGUUGAUCGCGUCGGAAGUGUAAUCUUGGGGCUUAACCCUGAGCGUGCUUUCGAUACGGGUUGACUUGAGGAAGGUAGGGGAGAAUGGAAUUCCUGGUGGAGCGGUGGAAUGCGCAGAUAUCAGGAGGAACACCAGUGGCGAAGGCGGUUCUCUGGGCCUUUCCUGACGCUGAGGAGCGAAAGCGUGGGGAGCGAACAGGCUUAGAUACCCUGGUAGUCCACGCUGUAAACGGUGGGUACUAGGUGUGGGGUCCAUUCCACGGGUUCCGUGCCGUAGCUAACGCUUUAAGUACCCCGCCAGGGGAGUACGGCCGCAAGGCUAAAACU
Molecule: ribosomal RNA, 841 nt
Filed under: uncultured Propionibacterium sp.
Lineage: Bacteria; Bacillati; Actinomycetota; Actinomycetes; Propionibacteriales; Propionibacteriaceae
Description: bacterial SSU rRNA
Rfam family: Bacterial small subunit ribosomal RNA
Source: RNAcentral